UAAUUUUGAAAACCCAAGUUUUCGCACCCCCUGGAAUAUCGUCUUGCACCCCCAGGGGGUACGAAAGCCCCUGGUUGGGAACACCUGCACUAAAUAAAUAAAAUCAUGAAUCAGUUCUAAGCAGCAAUUAACACAUUACCUGUUCUCUAAUACAUGGAGACCAAUCAGUGCUAUUUCAUAGCCUCAAGAUUAACAAAAUAUCUUAAAUCCUUCCCCUCUCAACCUGAAAAUCCUCAUGUGUUAUUUGUACUUGCUUUUCUACUCAGCUUUCCCACCACACAUCCAUUCAGAGUUGAUUGUUCCCAUGAAACAAUGAAAUUAUGUCAUAAUAUAUACACUGAAAUACUACUUUUAUAAAAGACUGUUGAAAUGCAAAGUGUAUAAAAUGGCACACUAGACUUUGUGUAAUUAAUAUGCUCAGUUGCAAUCAACACUCUUAAAGCAUGACAUUAGCCUAUGAACAAACACACCAAACAAAAUCAGCAAAAUACUAGCCAUAACAAAGCAUGGUGGGAGAGAAAUAUUUUCCCCAAUUGUUGAAAAGUUCUGAUGGAGUCAUUAUUGCACUUUUUUAUUUUCUAUAAAAGAAAUAGCACAUUAAUGAAGGAAAUAUUAUCUCUAAUUUAACUUUUGUCGAGAGUUAAAAGCCUUUGCUGGAGGUGUAGAUUGAUGCCUCAAGUCACAGCACUCUUGAAGGGAGUGGAAUGGGAGAGAGGAUGGAAGCUGAGUUGGAUAGGGGAGUGUGCUACUUCAAGAGAAGAGCAAGGAUGAAGCGAAAGACGUCCUAGAAUUAAUUGCUACAUCAGAAGGAAGCUGGAAAGGGGGAAACUAAUUCUAAAAUGAAGAUCUAAUGGUAACAGGUUACUCCCAGAUCUACUGUUAUUUUUGAUAAAAGUUGUAGCCUCAAAUUCUUACUCUUUUAAUCAUACCUUACACCAACGUAAUUGUAGACUUUUUUCCUCUCCCUCAAGAGUGGAUGGUCUGAAGGGUGAGAGGUAAUUAUCUAAUUUCACUUUUUUUCUCUCAAUUUUAGGUGUAUAUGAAGAUGGUCGGCAUUGACUAAGACACUUCAUAUCCUGUAGUAGUUUAAUUGUUAACAAACCUACUUCAUUUAUAUACAGGGUUCACAUUACUGUUUGCACAUAAGAGAGAAUUCGGGGUCAGGAUUAAGGUGCUGGCCUAGAAACUAGGAAACGGUGAAUUCUAAUCCCCCCUUAAGGUGUGAAAAAUAGCUUGGGUGACUUGGGUCACUGUCUCUCAACCUGGCCCACCUCACAGGGUUGUUGUGGGGAAAAUCCUCGUAAAUGGACAGUUCACGAUGUGGGCUUGUUCUAGUGGGAAUCUUUCUCUUCAAUUUAUUUAGAAGAGCAAUCUUUCACUGCACUAUAAGCUGCUGCACUGUAUUCUCUACUGAUCUGCAGGCUUCUCCAAUUUCCAGCUCUUUUGGAGAUAUCAGAAAGGAUUCUGAGUGAACAAGAAAAGCAUAUAUGGCACAUGUUGCCUGGACAUAUACCUUUCCCAAACAGAAAAUUCAAUAGAUAGAGGACUAGCUGCAUUGCAAUACCUUCUCCUUUACCGACAAAAAAGCUGAUGAGAAGAUAGCAGAAGUAGUAACCUUUCAGCCACUUCGUACAUUUUCCAACAUAAAGAGGCCUCCUGAAACCUGUGUGGAUCUGAAUCAGAGAGAAACAGACUCUAACCAGGAUAUAUUUCCUGUCAGCCACUGUCCCUUUCCACUUUCUGCAGCCCCCCUCCAGGAUUCCUCGUGGGUUUUCUUCUCAUAGAACUAUUAACAUAAAUACUCUCGAUCUAAAAGGUUGCCAUUUUGUGCUCUAAUACUGUAGAUCAUGCACAACGGGCGUCUGGGCAUAUGUUUUAGCAAUCCAGGAGAAAACUCCAGAGAGAUGUGGGCACCAACUGUGAAAGAAAGCUAAAUCUGGGCAAAAUCCGUUUCUUUGUUCAAUUCAGGAAUCCAUCAUUACCUUAACAGCUGUCACACCAAAUGGUACAGCAUGUGUGCCUUUAAAGAAGAUACUGAACACUUUCCCAUCCUACAGAAGUGCACAGCCAAAAUGCCGUAGGAAUCUGGGAGCCAAAAUAGUACCCAAGGUUCUGCCUCUCCUUCUCCUACAGUCUGUCGCAUGCAGCUCAGCCCUGGGCCUAAUUUUCAGACUCAUCCACGUCUUGAUGCCCAGCCAAGGGUAGACAGAGUUUCUCUAUUAAUUCUUGUAUGUUAACUCUGAUCAGACAGCAAAAUGAACAUGGGCUUCUACAGAUAAAAAAAUGUUUUUUUGUGUGACUAGAAGAUACUGAGAUGCUGCAGAGAUGCCUGUUGCUGGAAAGAAAAGGCAGUGCUGAAUUUUGCUGUUUUUUCUUCUGCAGCCCGAUGUUUUCUAAGGAGACCUUUUUAAGCUCUGGACAGAGGGGAACAUUGGAUUAUGGAGUGGAAAUGGGAUAUUGUUAGCCGCAAAUAUCUUUGUCCUUCGCCAAAACAUUCUGUGAAUGAAGCUCUCUUCAGUAGAGUGCUGGAUCCAGCCCUAUAUCUUUGAAAAUAUUUUUGUUGUUGAUGAAGAUGAUGGAAGAUCUCAUUCAUAUUUCCUCCAAAAUCUUAAAAGUGCCACCGACAAAGCAAUCUCAGGCAUAUUUUUUGGAUAUAAGCCCAUUCGAUACAAUAGAGCUUAUGCUCAGGUAUGUCUCAGAUAAAAACCCUAUAAUGAAGUUCAAAUCUUACAAAAAAAAAGGAUUUUAAUUGAACUGGAUCAAUUUAAUUUAGUUUAAAAGAUAAAUAAUCAAUCCCAAGUUCUUCCACCAGCUGAUAGCCCAACAUUUUAGGUAAGUGAAUUGCCAGGAUGAUAGGUAAUGAUUAAAUUAACUUAAAACUCCCUUUUAUGACCCAGUAAUCUUACUCUAUAUCAUUAUGUACGCAGGAUAAGCAAAUAUCCUAAUGACAAAAUGAUGGCAGGGUCUCAGAAGACAGCUAUCUCCCCCCCCCCAAUUGCUUGAAAUAAGAGUUGAAGAUAUGCCCAUUCCCCAGGCAUUUGUAGAAUAUCCACAACUCCAAGGUUUGUUGCCUUUUAAUUAUUAUUUUUUAAAUUAUAUAAAGUUUUAACAUUACUUUGUUCAGAACUGGUUGUUUUCUUGGUUUUUUUCAUUGUUUAAUGUGAACUGCUUUUACUUCUCAUACCUCCGAGCAGGACAAAUGGUAUAGUAAUAUUACUACCUUCAUAUCAUCAUAUUGCAAAUAAUAGCAGCACUGUUUCAUUUAAACUGUCUCAGCCUGGCAAUGCUGAGAUGGGAAUGAAAAAUCCUUAAAACAGUUAGUAACUUCUUCAUUUUAGCAGUUUAAAACAACAGAUAGAUAGGAUAGGUGGACUCAAAUAAUCUCAUCACAAUGUUUCCCAGAUUAAUUUUGGACGGACAGGGAAUGCCGAGAAAGAGGAAUCUGCUCUGACUAGAAUGGCUCAGGUGUGCUAUCUUACCAGUGUUUUCUUGACAAGAAACCUUGAUGGGUAUAGAAAGAGACAGAGAGCCGGGUCAAAGCAGCAAGGCUAUUGUAAACUAACUGUCAAGAGACGUCUAUAAUGGCAGGCAUUUCCCACCAUAAUCAUCCAGUACUUGAUGAAAAGGUUAUAGCUUUCUAAGCAGUCACGUUAACAAUCUGGCCAAAAAAAGGAGGGGGGAGUAGGGAAUUAGAAACAAGUGAAUUAAUUACCUCUUGUCCAGAUCCCCAUGCAUAAAAAGGCCAACAUAUAUGCUCACUCCCAAAGCCUCAUCUAAGAUUUCAGUGGCGCUUCUUCAGGGACACUGAAGAUUUCAGAUUGAGCAUGGCCACUCAACCUGGUCACUCAUUGCAUUGGUGGACAAUCAAGAAGCAAACCCAAUGUGUCUAGCACGUGUUGAUGUAUACACAAAUGCAGGCACACACAGAGACAAAGUGCACACAUUCCUUGGGUAUAUAGAUAUUCUGGCUGACAUUAUCAGCGAGGAGGAAGACCUCAGCUCAAAAUAAAUCAUGUAAAUACUUGAGCCAUAUAUGAGGCAGUUAAGACAAUGCUACUGUUUUCAAGCAGAGAUACAGAAACAUUAGUCCUCUAGAUAGAAUUGAACCUCAGUGUCUUGUAUCUUUCAUGAUUGGCCCUGAAAGCUGAUGUUGCUGGAACCAUACCCCAUUAGUAGAGGUACUUAUGGGUAGACUACAACUCCUAGCAGCCCCCAAAAGUACAGAGCCCAAAAGAAGGCAAAGCAAAUAUAUUAGACAACGAUGGUCUGUAACAAUUUUCAGGAAUAAAUUACACUGAGAAACAAUCUUAGAGAGCAGCCCUUCUACUGAACCAGUCAAUGGGCUAUCCAUUCGUGUAUUGGAAUGGGAGAAAGGUGGUGGUUAUUUCAUCUAAUAUCUGGAACGUUCCGGAAAAUUAUAGAUAAAAGUGAUAUAUGACUACAAUCCAUAAUUGUCUGGCUGCAGUGGUGCCAGAAGCUGUACUAUUAAGCAGUGCAUGAAUUGCUAAUUCAUAAAAUAGAAAUAAUGACUACCACUUAGGUAAGUGAGGGAAAAAAAGAGGAAAAUAUGGACCCCCUGUAAUUUCACCCUUCCCAAUAACUCAUGGGAGACAAUGGGAAAAGUGACACUUAGGCGGGCCCUCUGUACUAUUCAAUUCGUAGGCUUUUCCUGAGUGUAUAAUACACUGUUAGGAAAUGUAUUAUUAUUGUUGUUGCUGAUCGUAGCUUUUAACAUUUUUAUACAUUUUAUAUAUAACCCCCCUCAUAAAUUAGCCAGAGUCCUUGUUGUAGGAUGGGAUAUAAAUUUAAUUAAAACAUGCAUGACACAAAUGCAGGGAAAGAUCUCUUCUAUAUUAAGCCCUGUGGAACUCGGAAAUAAUCUAAGAAAGCUUUGAGGAAGACUGUUCCACUCAGGGAGGAGAUGAAAAGCUGUUUCUUUGGAAUAAUAGGUUUUAAAUUGGAGCCCUUUGCUUAAAAUCCACAGGCAAUAAAAAAGGGGUCAAAAUGAAGAAAAUUGCACAACUCUUAUAUUACUUUAAAAGAUAAUCAUGGGUGUUUCCCCCCCCCUUCCAGAAAUAGUUGCUUUUUUUCUUUUUCUUAAGUAGUCAUUGACAAUAGAUGCCAUCACUUAGAAUCCAUUGCUCAAUAAAAGAAUGGUCAGAAAUUUUAAGAUUUUAUGCAACUUAAAUGUUUCCAGUCAUCGUCUAUUUCAGGACUGGGGCUCAUUUUGAAUGGAAAAAAUGUAAUCUUUGACCUUAAACAUCCAUGAAAAUGACCUUUGAGAGUAAUUGUGUGGACUGCAAUUUGACUUUAUUUAUGUGGCUAAUUCACUUGUAAUGCUUUACAUUUGUGCUACAUAUUUUAAAUGGCUUACAGUGGGAUUGCUUUGACUUUUUUUUUUUUUUUGCUAGCAUCUUCUAUGUUUAGUCAUUUCUUCUAAUAUGUGCAAAGGCAUCUAUUCUGAGCCUGUCAGAGAUUGCACUAGUAGUUUUGCUUGCUACUCUCAAGUUUCUUUAAAUCAAAGCCAAAAUGUAUAUAGCCUACAUAAUAUAGGACAAAAUUAUAUCUAUAUUCUAUAACAAUGUUCAAUUAUGGAUACAAGAAAAAGUGAGUCAGAAGUAUUCUUUGAUAAUUGCUGGGUCAUAUCAAGAUACCGCCAUACUAAAAUGGAAGAGCUUUCAUCACAAACUAGGGUAAUUGUCCAAUUGUAUUGAAGUCAGUUACAUUAGAAUUUCACCCACAUAUAUUUAAUGGUCUUACGUUAUUUUUAUGCUGAUGUCACAGUUAUUUAAGUGAGAGGUACUUUUGUUAGCUAGACAGUUUUCUGGAAAAAAAAAUUAGGAGAUUUCAGACUGUAGUGGGCAAAAUUGUGGUGGUUUUCCAUUUUGCAGGAGUUUGGCACACUUCCGCUGCAUUUUGGAACCUAAUUUUAACCUUCUCUGGAAUGUCCCUAUGAGCUGUAUGUAGUGACUUAGGGGUUCCAGGGAACACCAAGCACUGAUAAAAGAUGAGACAUGGCUGGCUCAGGAAUUCUGGGACUUGAAGUCCACGAGUCAUAAAAGAGCCAAGGUUGCCUAUCCCUGGACUAGGAGAACAAUUCUUUGCCAUUUCCAUACAGAAAUAAAUUAAGGAAUCAAAGUAACAAUUCCAGAAGAGAAACCUAAAAUCUCAAGUUCGGCUUUUGUUAGAUCAGUGGUGUGUGGAUGUGCAGAAACCUUGUACCCAGUAAAAUCAAUAUUUGAUAAUUCAGUGCAGUAUUAGCUACAUGGAUUGUAAAAAUCACACCCAUCCUUUUCGGGCUCAAAUUAAAAAUCACUUAAUCCCUUAAAGAUUUUAUAACUGCCUGUCUCUAUCCAGACUCCAGGAAGAUUGUAAACUGGAAACGGUCACCUCUAGCCAAACGUUGCUUGAUUCUGGCAUUCGACUCGCUGCAAGUUCCAGCAGGAAUGCAUCUGGAUUAUCUAACUUUUUAGAUAAAUUCUUUCAGAUUCAUCACAUUUAUUAUAUUCACUUUGAGUCUAGCCAAUUAAAUUGUAGUAGGAAUUAUAAAUCAAUUGGGCCAAAAUUCCCAUUUUUAAACUGCUUAAUAUCUUGAUAAGUGAAGAAACAAGGGAAAAAAGUAGGGAAAAACUGAAGUACUGGUAGUAAAAAAUAAACGAAGAAGAAAACCUUGGUUGUUGUAAAGAUAAUAAUAAGGAGAAAGGGUUGAAAGAGUCUGCUAAUUCUGAGUUUGCUAAUUCUUUCUCUAUUCUAUGCAUCCACAUGACAAACAUUUCAUUAGUAAGGGAAGGACAUUUGUUGUCAGUGCUAGGGCUAAAUAUAUAUAAAAAAAUCAAGAGCUCAACCUGACUUCUCAAGGAAGCCAUAAUCUAGAAUCCUGGAAAAUCAAGAGUUUAAGAAGUCCCUGUAAAUAAAAAAGGUUCAUUGCUGUUAAUUUUGGCCUGGUGCUUGUAAAUGGGGCAAGAAAGGAGAAGAUAAGGUCUCCUGCUUGAGCAGAAGAUUGGACCUGAAAACUUCCAAGGUCCCUUCCUACCCUGUUAUAUAUUCUGCUCUAUAUUCUGUGUUCUAAGUGUAUCUCUCCCACUGCUUUGUUCAUCUCUAGGUUGUACACAAAUUUAAAAUGACUGGAAAGAAUCAGUUUCAUUUUUACAGUCUACUGUACGGGUUAACUUUAGAUGUAGCUAAUACUACACUGAAUCAUGAAAUGUUGUUUCUCUUGGGUCCAAGAUUUCUGCACAUCCACACUCUAUUCACUUGAGACUUUAGGUUUCUCUUCUGGACUUAUUACUUUGCUUCCUUAUUGCACUUAAAUUCCAUUUUAUUCCUACAAACUGCAUUGUAAGUACUUUCCAGUGUUAUUUACAUAGCAACUUUGUGAGGGAAGUUAAGUUGAGGGAUAAUUAUCUCAAAACAUCCAAUGAAUUUUAUAGUUGGGAGGGAACUUGAAAUUGUAUCUCUCCAGUGUUGGAUUAGCACUAAUUUUUUCCUUAGAUUUUUUUUUUAAAAAAACUUCAUAAUAUUGCUUUUGUUAUUGUCAUCAAAUUACUUCAGAACUUUGCAUUAAAAUUGAUAUAUGAAUGUUCUUUAAUAAAUAGUCCUCUUAACCCUGCAUGAUCUUUGAUCAAAUUUAAUAUUUGUUCUCGUUUGUGAGCGAAAUCUUACAAUGGGUUCUGCAUGUACAAUAGGUUUAUUAUAUGGAGAUCUUAAACCUAUGAAGCUUUGCAGUAUGGCAUCUCUUGUUAAUUGUGUGA
Molecule: long non-coding RNA, 7751 nt
Organism: Crotalus tigris (Tiger rattlesnake)
Lineage: Eukaryota; Metazoa; Chordata; Lepidosauria; Squamata; Viperidae
Exons: 4
Source: RefSeq, a predicted model, not a curated record